GAGACAGCAGCAGCCACGGUAAUACGUAGGUCCCGAGCGUUGUCCGGAUUUAUUGGGCGUAAAGCGAGCGCAGGCGGUUAGAUAAGUCUGAAGUUAAAGGCUGUGGCUUAACCAUAGUACGCUUUGGAAACUAUUUAACUUGAGUGCAAGAGGGGAGAGUGGAAUUCCAUGUGUAGCGGUGAAAUGCGUAGAUAUAUGGAGGAACACCAGUGGCGAAGGCGGCUUUUUGGCCUGUAACUGACACUGAGGCGCGAAAGCGUGGGGAGCAAACAGGAUUAGAUACCCCGGUAGUCCCUGUCUCUUAUACA
Molecule: ribosomal RNA, 308 nt
Filed under: uncultured bacterium
Lineage: Bacteria
Description: partial 16S ribosomal RNA
Rfam family: Bacterial small subunit ribosomal RNA
Source: RNAcentral